RNAcentral lists this long non-coding RNA (1427 nucleotides) under Carica papaya (papaya). Its description in RNAcentral is "long non-coding RNA (CPAP_LNC015178)". The record is from RNAcentral. Lineage: Eukaryota; Viridiplantae; Streptophyta; Magnoliopsida; Brassicales; Caricaceae.
GGAGAUAAAAAAUAAAAAAAGAGAGGAAGAAGAGAGGAGAGCAGCCGAAGGAGAUACAAUGGAGAGAUGAAUGAGACGAAAAGGGAGAGGGAAAUUGCAGGGAGAAUUUGGAGGACCGGAGGAGUUGAGUGAGUUGUGGCUGAGGGAGAGGAAAUGAACGCAAGAGUAAGGGAAUUUAGGGUUCUGACUCGGUAGGGUAAAGAAAGAUCAAAUAUAUCUGUAUUUUCUCAUUUUUUUGAAAUUGGUUGAAUGAGGUGAUCGGGAGUGAGGGAGAACUGGUGCAGAUGAGGUGAUUAAGACGAGUGUGGAUGUAGAAACCUUUAUUGGGAUGAGGUUUAGUGUAGAUCGAGUAGAAGCCAUCGGGUGAGAGUAUAGGUUGGGCAAAAGUGGUAGAGUCUAGGGUCAAGUCCUAGGAUCCGAGUAAAAGAGGCAGAGUGAGUGUUCUGGGGGGGUGGGGGGGGGGGAAGUCAUAACGCGAUUGGUGUGUGUGUGGCCAUUACGGGCCACGUGUGACUGUGUGAGUGAACGGCUCAGGUUGGCGUCUGGUGUGUGCGUGUGUGGCAGACCCUGACCGAGGAUUGUAAGUAUUGAGUUAUUGAAUGUAGGUGGUGUGGUGUGUGUGUGUGGCUCCGAAAGAGUUGUAAUGUGGUCGGUGUACAUAUGUGACCAUUACAGGCCGAGUGUGACGGUGUAUGUGAGCAUUUCAGUGUGGCAUCUGGUAUGUGUGUGGGUGACAGAGACUGCCCGAGCAUGGUAAGGACUGAGUAGGUGAGUUUAUGUGAUAUGGAGUGUGUGUGAGCGUGUGUGAGUGUGUGUGGCCCUAUGGCUGUGGUGGCAGGUUGGGUGUUGAAUAAGUAAGGGCUGACCGAGAGUUGUGUAGGAGGAAGUUGUGCUGUAAGGUUCCUCGUGUGUAAGGGUGGCCUAUACACGACAUUGGUGGUUGUUGAGAUGGAGGUGAAAUAGGUGUGUAUGGUCUGUUUAGGUCGGGCAGUUGUCGGUGUUGGUAUGGGCGAGGACGUGUAGGUGGGGUCUUUACAGGUUGUUGCCUGGGGUGAUUAAGGGAUAAUUGACUGAGUGAUAUGUGUGAGUGGCCUCUCCAAGCCAGAAGAGUAGAAGGGGUGGAUAUGUGGUCGGUAAGGACUGAUUGGUCUGAUACUGAGGUUGAGUGGUGGACAUAGGCGAACUGUGAAUGUGUUUGGUUUUUCUUUUGGGGCUACGGGUGUGGAGUGUAGGAGUAUUUCGAUAUUAUUAGGAGUAACCAGUAGGUGUAAUUGAGUGGCUAUAGGUAACGAAGUUUGGGGGAAGUGGCCUUCUUAUGGUAGAGAUGGGAGAGUAGAUAAGUGGGAGUGAGGGUCUAAGUGAGGAGUGUUGGGGUGGGGAAUUUCUUGGUUUCCAUAUUAUAGUCUUAAGUUCUAUAUUUUCUUACU